RNAcentral lists this ribosomal RNA (638 nucleotides) under uncultured fungus. RNAcentral describes it as "eukaryotic LSU rRNA". It matches the Rfam family "Eukaryotic large subunit ribosomal RNA", at positions 24 to 663 of the family's 3401-position model. The record is from RNAcentral. Lineage: Eukaryota; Fungi.
CCCGCUGAACUUAAGCAUAUCAAUAAGCGGAGGAAAAGAAACUAACAAGGAUUCCCCUAGUAACUGCGAGUGAAGCGGGAAAAGCUCAAAUUUAAAAUCUGACGGUCUUGCGGCCAUCCAAGUUGUAAUCUGGAGAAGCGUUAAUCCGCGCCGGACCGUGUACAAGUCUUCUGGAACGGAGCGUCGUAGAGGGUGAGAAUCCCGUCUUUGACACGGACUACCGGGGCUUAUGUGAUGCGCUCUCAAAGAGUCGAGUUGUUUGGGAAUGCAGCUCAAAAUGGGUGGUAAAUUCCAUCUAAAGCUAAAUAUUGGCGAGAGACCGAUAGCGAACAAGUACCGUGAGGGAAAGAUGAAAAGAACUUUGGAAAGAGAGUUAAACAGUACGUGAAAUUGUUGAAAGGGAAACGCUUGAAGUCAGUCGCGUCGGCCGAGACUCAACCUUGCUUCUGCUCGGUGCACUUCCUGGUUGAUGGGUCAGCAUCAAUUUUGACCGCCGGAUAAAGGUGAGGGGAAUGUGGCAUCCUUCGGGAUGUGUUAUAGACCUCGAUUAGGAUACGGCGAUUGAGAUCGAGGAACUCGCCACUUUGCGUGCCAAGAAGGUGGCCAAAAUGCCUUUAACGGCCCCUCCUGAAACCCCG